CCUACGGGGUGCAGCAGUAGGGAAUCUUCGGCAAUGGACGAAAGUCUGACCGAGCAACGCCGCGUGAGUGAAGAAGGUUUUCGGAUCGUAAAACUCUGUUGUUAGAGAAGAACAAGUAGGAGAGUAACUGCUCUUACCUUGACGGUAUCUAACCAGAAAGCCACGGCUAACUACGUGCCAGCAGCCGCGGUAAUACGUAGGUGGCAAGCGUUGUCCGGAAUUAUUGGGCGUAAAGCGCGCGCAGGCGGUUCCUUAAGUCUGAUGUGAAAGCCCACGGCUCAACCGUGGAGGGUCAUUGGAAACUGGGGGACUUGAGUGCAGAAGAGGAGAGCGGAAUUCCACGUGUAGCGGUGAAAUGCGUAGAGAUGUGGAGGAACACCAGUGGCGAAGGCGGCUCUCUGGUCUGUAACUGGCGCUGAGGCGCGAAAGCGUGGGGAGCAAACAGGAUUAGAUACCCGCGUAGUC
Molecule: ribosomal RNA, 465 nt
Filed under: uncultured bacterium
Lineage: Bacteria
Description: bacterial SSU rRNA
Rfam family: Bacterial small subunit ribosomal RNA
Source: RNAcentral